UAAUAUAGACAGAAAAAGGAAGCCCUGCUGGAACAGGACUUCCCAUGUAGAGCCGCUUAAGACGGUGGCAAAGUUUAAUAAUAGAUUAAA
RNAcentral lists this small RNA (90 nucleotides) under Lentilactobacillus parabuchneri. RNAcentral's name for it is "Lactobacillus parabuchneri RatA sRNA". It matches the Rfam family "RNA anti-toxin A". The record is from RNAcentral. Lineage: Bacteria; Bacillati; Bacillota; Bacilli; Lactobacillales; Lactobacillaceae.